GACGAACGCUGGCGGCGUGCUUAACACAUGCAAGUCGAACGGAAAGGCCCUGCUUUUGUGGGGUGCUCGAGUGGCGAACGGGUGAGUAACACGUGAGUAACCUGGCCUUGACUUUGGGAUAACUUCAGGAAACUGGGGCUAAUACCGGAUAGGAGCUCCUGCUGCAUGGUGGGGGUUGGAAAGUUUCGGCGGUUGGGGAUGGACUCGCGGCUUAUCAGCUUGUUGGUGGGGUAGUGGCUUACCAAGGCUUUGACGGGUAGCCGGCCUGAGAGGGUGACCGGCCACAUUGGGACUGAGAUACGGCCCAGACUCCUACGGGAGGCAGCAGUGGGGAAUAUUGCACAGUGGGCGGAAGCCUGAUGCAGCAACGCCGCGUGCGGGAUGACGGCCUUCGGGUUGUAAACCGCUUUCGCCUGUGACGAAGCGUGAGUGACGGUAAUGGGUAAAGAAGCACCGGCUAACUACGUG
This 468-nucleotide ribosomal RNA is filed under the name uncultured bacterium. RNAcentral's name for it is "partial 16S ribosomal RNA". It matches the Rfam family "Bacterial small subunit ribosomal RNA", at positions 28 to 507 of the family's 1533-position model. The record is from RNAcentral.